Molecule: long non-coding RNA, 12188 nt
Organism: Talpa occidentalis (Iberian mole)
Lineage: Eukaryota; Metazoa; Chordata; Mammalia; Eulipotyphla; Talpidae
Exons: 9
Source: RefSeq, a predicted model, not a curated record
AAUGCUAGCUAUCUCUAUGUGAUGUAUUAGUUAUUUCUGUCAUCUCUAUCUCCCCAGCUUGAAAUUUCAUAUAAAACAAAUGUUUCAAUCCUGUUUGAUCCAGCAUGGAAAAAAAAAGUUUUGAAUUUCUUAAUAGAACAAUAUCUUGAAAUUAACCAUUCUGUAAAAAGAAACUUGCCAAUUACCUUUCGUCUAGUUCAUAUCUUUGACAUAUUUGCCAUUCAAAAUAUUUCUAGAUUGUAGUGUCUGCUUGGUUUUGGUUAUCUAAGCUGUAAUAAGUAGUCUUGGGACCCCUGAAGGCACACCCCACACACUUAUGCUGUGUGACCUGAGGUCACAAGUAAUGGCUGCAAGCUAAUUGAUUGAGAAAGGCUUGUCUGGCAGGGCCUCUCUCUGUCCUCCCUUUACAUUCCUAAGUUCUGUGAAAGAGGCACUAGCAGCUCAGCCUAGCAAGGAAGGAAAAAAGGAGGAAGUUUCUCUGCGUUUUGAUUACACUCUGAAUUCCCUUGUAGUGAGCUUACUUCUCUCCACCCACUUCUUCUUACAAGAACUUAACUUGAAGGUGAACAACUAAAAGCCUGGCCCCAGAGAGGUGUCCGAAAAGUGAUUUGAGUAUUUAAUGAACUGAAAGAACAAAUUACUUACUUCAGGCGGCGGGAAGCAUAUGGCAAUUAUAUUAGAACUUCAGCAAAGUGCACAGCCGCAUAAUACAGAAGCUGGAACUCAGAUUGACAGGCAAAUAAGCCAGCUCGUAGAAGGGGCCUCUGGGUGGCAGCUCUGGGCUAUUGGGUGUUGGACAACUAUAGGCAAAACUGAAAUGGAACAGGGGCAGAAAAUAGCACACUUUUACGCUACGCAACCGUUGCUUUCGCCUGCUCUUCAGGAAUUUUAUUGGGAUAAUCUUCCAAAUUGAAUUCCAAGCAUUCUAUCCAAAUGGUUAUGAAUGAUUAAAAUAUCAUUGUAAAGAGAAGACUCAAAAAUUACUGGUUCCUCAAUUCCUUCUCUAUGCUAGUGAGAGAUUUCAAAGCCAUGUCUUUAGCAGAAGCAAGAGCAAAGUUUUUUUAGAGACAGAAUGAAAGUACAUCCAGGGAGAACCAGGAAGAGGAGUGGGAAGAACAACUGGGAAGAAAGGAGCAUAUUGCUACUUUGAAGGUAAAGAAAACUCUGUCAUGAUGCCAGCAGAGACGAGGAUGGAAUAUAUUAUAUGGAUUUCUAGAGACUUUGCUUCCCUCUGCCUAUAGUCAGCUCAUCAUCUUGCUGCCAGAGGUAUCAUACGCCUGAGAAAGCUCUGCAACUACUCUGGACCACCCCUUAGAGGAGGUGAUCAGAUAUCUUUGAAGAUUAAUCAGAGAACCUUUCACUCACCUAUAAAGGGAAAACUUAAAAUGGAUAUGAGAAGUGAAGAAAGUGAUCAUAGGAGAAAAUCAUCUCAGAUCAACCACUUCAGAAGAACCAGAUUCCACUUCUGUGACCAGGACUUUUAUGUUAUGGCUGGUCUGAUUGUUUUGCCCUGCGUUCUAUGCUACUAAGCGUUGGAUGAUUUCUAAAGUACAAAUUCUGUUCUCGAACCACAAACAAGGCUAAAAGAUCGGAGGAAUUUCAGUGAAUAUACAGUAUUGGGAUUUUGUAUUUUCAAAAGUAUUGAGCUUUAUAAUGCAGUUAUUUAAGAAAGAGAAUUUUUUUUAAAUUUCUUUUGAUGUUGCCAGCAUUUUAAGUAACAUGUUUAUUAAGUGGCAUUGCUCAAAUUGCUAGAGUCUGCAUGUGAAAUAUUUGCUGUCUGAAUAGUUGGGAGAUUCAAAGAGAUAAAGCACGCUUCAGAGGUAUUAAAUUAUGACAUGCAAAAAAGUUUUUGUUUUAGACUUAACUGCAACAGUAUAUAUUUAAAGCAGAUUUAAGGUGUUGUAUGUCCUGGGCCCACCUUAACAGUUUUGCUGUAUAGAAGUGUAAUGGGAAGUAAAAUUUCAGUUAGGGUCCCAUCAACUGGCAUAUAAUUCUUUAAUGUAAUAGAGGCUGUGGUGUCGCUGCACAAAUCUGCUAAAAACAGAUUUUAAUCCAUUUUUAGUCUCUUUGAAUCGAACGGAAUGCCUCUUAACUGUUCAUUGUCUGCAAUGCUUCUCAUUUUCAUUAUUAUAAGGUCUGGGUUAGUCUAUAAAUGAUCAUUGUGAAUAUUCAGCUCAGUCUAACUUUUAUACAUCAUAUAUAUUUCUAAGUAUGUACUUUAAUUAGUAUUUAGAGGAAAAAGUUUAACUGAACCCAACUAUAAUUUCUAAGCUAGCCUUAUUACUGGAAGAAGAAUUCUACUGCAUCAAACCAGACUUUUCCUAGUCCCUGAGACCCUAACUUGUGAGGUAUUUUAGUAACAUCACAAGUCAGGCUCUUGGGACCUAGGCGGAGGGGAACCAGCACCUUUGGACCUUAUUGAUUGUCUGCAGUUGCCACCAGAACAAAAGAACAUACAUAGAUUCUGCCUAGGAGAAAAGAACAAUGCUCUUCUUUAUAAUCAGCAAUGUUUUCACCAUGACCCACACCCAAAAUACUAUUUUCAAAAACUGUACUUUAAAAUGGUUACAGAGCUGCACUGAAAUAGCAUUUGUAUUAUAUUCUAAUGACCAUAUAAAAGCAGUAUAAGUUAUCUGUAUAAGAAGCAAAAUUCAAAUACAAAUGUUUUAAAAAUGCUUCUUUUGGUGUAUAUUAAGGUAACUAGUCUGAGAGAAUACCUCCUUAGUUAAUAGGAGAGUGGUUAUUUAUCACUUCUUUCAUAUGCAUAGAAACAGAAACAUUAGCAGCAUAAAUAAAUCCUAUAUGUCUCCACGUAACUGUGACUCAGAAUAUGUAAUAUAUAGCUGUAAUCAUGUUUGAGGCCUAGAAGUAAAAUGAUUUGCAAUCCUCUUUACUGAUCCUAUUUAAUUUUGCUAUUGAUUUUAGAAUGCUGUUUUAUACCUCGGAUUUAUUGCCAGAGUUUUCCUUAGACUUUGAACCAGACAAAAUACUUUAUGUGUCUUAUUAUCUUAAGACAGUUUCUUGUUAUAAGAGUUCAAGGGUGAGCUAUCAAUAAUUAGCAAAAAUAUGGUACUUUUCAGUUGUCACAUUUUACUUUGUAUAUCCCAUGCACCUAUGUGAGAUGAAUCAGUAAACAUCACCUAUGAAGACUGCUCUAGUUUAUCUGCCAACUGACUCUGAACUGAAUAGUGUUAGUUUUGUAAGAAUUAUAAUUUUGUAAGAGAUACCUAAUUCAACUCUAAUUGUUGUGACAUAUUUGAAUAUUAUUAGCCAUUGCCACAUCAAGCAUGUGUUUUUUUGAAUGGAGUUAGUAUAUUAAACCUAUGUAAACAUUUUACAGUAAUGUUGCAAAUAUUAAGAUUCAAAAUGGAGAUGAGAGACUUCCCAUAAUAGAAGAAACAAAAUGAUUUCAUUCAUUAAACUCUAUGACUUUAUAUGCUAAAAUAAAUAUAUGGCUGUAUUUUAGGAUACAGUAUGGAGUCUUUGUUCUCCUUUUUAUUGGAUUUGUAAUAAUUACUUUUGAUUUGAAAUAUCACAGAAUGCCAAUAACCGUUGAGUUACACUUACUAAAAAAAAAGGGCAUUACAAUAUCAUAAACAUUUUCCUCUAUGCAAGGCACAUAGAAUUUAUUUAAGCAUGAAUCCACAUGGUAUCUGUGCAAACCUUUGUAUCAUGUAUUUCAUUUAUCUAGAAUCUCUGAAAUUUUAUGUGUGUAUGCAUGUGUGUAUAAGCAUAUGUUUUAAAACUCCAACUGAAAGGAGGUAAUGUAAACAGUAAAGAAUUUUGGCAGUAUGUAUCUUUUAUUUCUGUUAACCUCAUUCUAAUUGUAAUUAAGCAAUUUAAAAAGCAUAAGCUUCUUGGUACAAAUAACUCUGUGUAUCUAGAAGUACACAGAAACGUGAUUAUAUUUAAUAGCAAUGUUUACACAAACUAUUUCUUAUAUAAAACAGUAACACAUAGGUAUAUGUUUCCGGACACCUGUUUUGACAUGAACAUGAAUAGUACGAAUAAAAUGUUCCAUCAUUUUAGCACCAAAAUAAUGUAGAAGAUAAAUGUUUACAAGCUGUACUGAUGUUAGAUAUAAGCUAUUGUUUCAAAUGCAAGAUUUUCCUUCUAGGCUGUUGUACUUAUGAAACAUACUACAUAUUAACUUCUAUUUCAUAGAAGAGAGGUCCUAAAGCUAAUGGAGAAUGCAGUGAUGUUUAUUUUUCCCAUAAACAUAUAUGAAAUUAUUUUUUAAUCAAUCAUCUGCACUGUUUGAAUCCUCUCCAUGUAAUCUUCCAUUAUGUGAGCUGAUUUUUCUGAACACAUCACUGAUAAAGAUUUUCAUUUACUUACUCCAUAAAGGUGAGUAGAGAUAUGUGUGGGUGACUUUGUUUAUAUAAACUACUUUAUGCUGCAUAUGGAGAGAUGGUUGCCACUUUUCUGCAUUUACUUGUCACAGGCUAAUACUGUUUUGGGACUGUCUAAUAUGAUUUGAAAAAUUAGAUCAUACUAAGCUUAAAAUAAAAGCAGAAAUCUACAACAAAGAACAAGAAAAUGAUGUGUGUUGCAUACCAAAAAAGCAGUGAUAUUAAGAAUUCGAUGACUUCCUGGUUGGGAGUCCAGCCUGAGCCAGACGCAUACAUUAAAAGCUGUCUGCUGGGAUGUGAGCUUGCUCAAUGCGGUGGAAAUGAGGAAUCACCUCCUCUCUGAUACCAGCUUAUUUUUACAUUUUAAUUUUGAAAUAGAAAAUCACUAUUUUACAUAACUAUACUAACCCAGCUUUCUUUUCCUUUCACACAUUAUUUUCUAAUUUACUGUGAACUUCAAGUUCUCUUUUUGUAUUAUCAUAAUCACCUUAAAUAUCUUUCAAAGACCAAUGAAGUAUUAGUUUCCUUUUGUCUCUUUUGUAUUGCUCUGUUAAUAUUGUGAUUAUACAUGCUUUUAACUUUUAAUCUCUGUAAGGAAAAGAUCAAUUUUCCAAAAUGACAUUUUUUAAAACCUUUUAGUACCCAUCAAGGAGCCACUUUUGGAAUUUUGCCAAGUAGAAAUAUGAUUAUAUUUCAUUUCAGGGUUCAUGGGAUCAAUAUCUUUCUCCGUAUAAAAGUCCUUAACACUUCAGUAUUCCAGUGAUGGUGGAGAAGAGAUGUAGAGCUAUUCUCAAGUAAUUUAAGCAUUAGGCUAUGUUAAAAAUAUCCAGAAGAGAAGGACAUUUCUCUAGGGUAUUAUAGUAAAGUUAAUUACUAAUGAAAUUAGAAAAGGUGUAUUCUGCCUUAAAUUCUUCUUCAAAUGGGCAUGCUGAUACACAUGCCUACACUUGGUCUCAUUCAUCUGAUAAAUAUUUAAAUGGUUUUGCAAGCUGUCAUGUUCAGAUGAGUUUUGAGAAAAGCAGUACAUAAAGGGUUAGCUAAUGCCCAAAUUUUCUUGCCAUUCACACAUGCAGUGCAGCCUACAUUUCGGGAGGCAUCAAAUGCAGGCAUCAUUUUGAUGACUUGGAUUCUUUUGUCUAGUUUCUUACUAGACAUUUAACUUAGCACUCAAAUCCCACUGAUCCCCUAGUGACUGUAUUUGGAAAAGGAAAACAGAGUUCAUAUAGAGAAGUUUUCAAAAAUCCCUGGCAUUUGUAAGCAUUUGAAAAUGCUUUUGGUGUAGCUCUGCAAAUAUUUUAUUUAUAUGCAGAAACAUAGAUGCUGCUAUUAUCUAUAUGCCAUUUCCAUAUUUAGUUUUCUGGUCUACCCGUGAAAAUAUAUAUAUAUAUAUAUAUAUAUAUAUACACACACACACACACUGAGACAUUAAUGUAUAUUUUUCUAGAUAGAUUUUCAUUUAAAAAAGACUUAGUUAAAACAGCAUAAAAGUGAAACAUCAUCCUAAAUCAUCCAUACUAUUUUUUCCAUGAACUAGCGUAAAUUUCAUUGAAUGUUGCUUUUUCCAUGUUUUUCAAUCUCUCCAUAUUAAAUGGUGCAUUAGCAGAUGGAGUACAUUACUAGUCAAUAUUAUUAAUUUGUGUGAAAUGUUUUACCUGUGUAAGUUAACAAGAAGCUGAACUUGAAGGUAACUGAGCUUAAGUGAAUUUAAGAUUAGUUUCAUUUUAUAUAACCAGUCAGCUAAAUGCAAACAUUUUAUGGAGAAUUUCAAAGUGAGUGCUUCUUAUAUGUGAAAUUAUUUUUUAUUAUUUUAUUAUUAUUGCUAUGAGUGAUAUGAUUUUGAGUUUGUUACUUUAAAAUUAAUUCCUAAACAAGAAAAACAAAAUGUGAAAAUGAUCGUGGUGCAUUGGUUACUUCAGCUAAAUUAGAAUAAUGAUUCCUAGAUUUCAUUUUUAAAUUUCAAGGUUUUUCAGGUAGUGGAGUUUAUUGUAGAUGGAUUUAUCCAUUCAUCCUUUCUGAAAAGUUUCUCUUCUCUGUAGGUAGGUGUCUGACCAUUUAUGAACAGUAAGUGACUAUUCUGUGAAAUCAUCUUUCCUUGCCUUUGAACUAGCUCCCCCUAGGCUCUGAGUAAACAUCAUUAUUUUACACAACCAAAUUGGUAGGUUUUUCUUGAAAUGCUAAUUUGUAUUUUUCUAGAUAUAUAAGUGAAUUGUGAGAAAUUAUAGAUUUACAUUCUCAUUUCUGUGUUUCCAAUUUCCAAACGUCUUUGGUAAGAGAUUUGAAUGGUUUUGAAACACUAGCAAACAAAAAGCAUUUGGUCUUGUAGAAUUAAAAAUUCAAUGUCUUUCUCAUAGUAGACUUCCUAUUCUUUGUAAGGAGGGAGGAACCAGACUUUGGCUAAGUUAUUACUGCCUUCCACAUCAUUUUAAAACCCAGUCUGUGCAUUUGUAAACCUUGGGGAGGUUUCUACAUUAGACAACAUUUUUUGUUGGGGGAUUACCCCACAGUGGGUUCCCUUCACUUCUGUCUGUCUUCCUGGCCCCCCUCCACCCAACAUGGAGCCUUUUCAACUUCUUCAAAGAAAUGGGGUCGGGGGGAGAAGUAGACUCUUUAUUAAUGGCAGAAAACAAACUGGCUGCUGGACUUCCGAAGCAGCCUUCUAAUAACAAAGCAGAGAAGGCACUGUGACAAAGAAUUCUUGAAUGUACUAAAUAUAUAGGGAAGCCGAUUUAAAUUCACCAGAGGGGCUUAGAGGACAAGCAGCAGAAAGUUUAGAAUUCAAUUCAAGCCAUGCCAGAAAAUGAAAAUGUACUUAAAAAAGGAUUUCUGAAACAAUUGUUCAAAGACAUGUCAACUUUUAAGGCUCUUUCUAGAAUAAUGAAAUUCGUAUUCAAAUUUCUGUGGUGACUUUUUCAAUUAGAGAGGAAAAAUGAUUAACAAGAUCUCAAAGGAAUUGUAUCUUAACAUUUUUUUUAAAUGCACUUUUUUUUUAAACAGGGUAUGUUCUAGUGAGGGCCACCUAGUACACUGACUAAAAUCACCCAAAUAUACACACAGGACAAAGCGAUUCUAUAUUUUUUUUAAUCAGUUAGGUAUAUCAUGACAGGAGUAGUCUCUCUAAGAGAGAGUAGUCUUCUCUAAGGAAGAUAACUUAUCUUUUCUAAUUUAUUUCUUUGCAUUCAAUUCUGUGAUUUAUAAUACAGAAACCAAGCAAAUGAAUGAACUAAAAAAAAAAUUAGUAUAUAAGACCAAAUUAGUGGCUAUCAGAAGGAAGGGUGGAGGAAAUGGAUAUUUCAGGUAAAUGGGUUAAUUGUAGGGUAAAGAAUAUAACUGGACUUCUGGUGGUAAAUUUAAUAUAGUGUAUACUGAUGUUGAUUUUAGUGCUGUACACCUGAAACUUAUCUAGUGUUCUAGUGCAAUGUUAUCUCAAUAAAAAUUAUUAAAUGAAUGCAGUGAAGUAAUUCCAAAAGAGCACAUUGCUGAUAAAUAAUAGGAUUUAUGUGAUGUUAAAUUUGAGAGACAAAAAAAAGUGUGAUCCCUACCUUUUCUCAUAUUGAGAAAAUCCUCUUCACCCUUUAUGGAGAUGUAUCUAUGAGGAGUGCCCACAUCUAUUUAACCCUAUUGUUGAUGUAAAGACUGUUCAUAAUGUUCAUUUAAGGUAGCAGAACCUUGAUUCAGGGAUAAAAUUUCCAGCAGGCUUUUUCCUAAUGUCUUCUAAUUUUAGAAUUAACUAAGUAUUGGAGAAAAGAGUGUCAUUCUUUGUCUCAGGGAUUACAAGUUGUAAAGAGUAUGGAAAUUUGGACCUACUAGUGGCACAUCCUUGUUUCCACUGUGGAAAGAUUCUGCUUGAGAAUGAAGCCCACAUGAAUUCACCAAUUCAUAAAUAUAACUUAUCAACUCAAAAUAAGCUGUUGAUUCAUUAUUCCAUCCAUUCACUUACAAGCUCAUAUUCAUCAUUAAAAAAAUGAAUUAAAACUGUGCCAAUUCAUGGGUCCUCUUGAUCAUUUUACAAAAUUUGAUUCAUUUUAAAACAAAAUAUUGGAAAUAUGCACAUUAGUACUAAUUACAUAGGGAUAUUUGGUACUUAAAGAUAAACUAUAGUAUUAUCCUCAAUAGAGAGAUAUAGGUGUGUGUGAAUAUUUAACAAAAAACUGAUUUUCACUUGUUGACAUUUUAACAUUAAGGACUUCAGUAGAUUUAAAUGAUUAAUCAAUGAAAUAACUCAAGUAAAUUCCUUAGCCUGUGCCUAACAGCUCAAAAGUACUCAGUAACUAUUAUCGUGCUUCCUGCUUGGAUCUUAGUCUUUGACUUUGCUAAAUGGAAUUUUUCAUCAUCAGAAUUCACUGGUGCACACUUUCCUAAAUAGUGAGUGGCAGACACCAUUUGGAAAUCCUUUCAGCUGCUAGAGCUCAACAAUAAUUUACUCUGAGUGUAUUCAUUAAAUGUUUCAUAAGUGCCUACUAUAAGAAAGAAAAAGAAAAAUUCUACUUUCAAAUAGCCACAGUCUAUAAAAGCUGUCUUUCACUUUCAGACAUAUUUUGUCCUCUGUGUGUAUCUUAGCAUUUCAUAAAUGUCUUUAUUAUUUUUUCUACUUUAUAAAUGUGCAUUCUAUGAGCUUUGCCCUACUUUCUAGUUGUAGAUAUGAUAACCUCCCUAUAUACUUUGAGUUGUUUUGAGCAAAAUGUAGAGUAUUUUUUAGGAUUUUGCAUAUCCUAGACUUUCUUCAUAGUAUGCCCUACAGUAUACAAUGUUCUAGUGAUUAUAAGUCAUACCUAGACCUUAAAAAUAGGAUAAUAAGAAUAGUAAUUCCAGAAUAAUUGGACCAAAAUGCUGUAUUCAUAUAUGAUUUCAUUCUCUCUAAAAUAAACCAUCCUUUAAUUUCCUCAAAAAAGGCUAAUUUGAAUAUAAUGAUAUUGAACAUGCAGUUUCCUGAAGUAGUAAUUAAUUUGGUAAAGGACCAGACAUUUUAAUUAACUAUCUCUGGAAGUUACAAUAUGCAAAAUAAAGUUGGAUUUUUAGACUUUUUGCCACCAUUGAACCACAGUGCUGGAGUAGAGGUAAAAGGCCUGAAUUCUACCAUCAUAUCUAUCUCCAGUUAUUUUAUGACACUGAACCUCUCUCCUCUUAACUUUCCUAACUUAGAAUUGAUUUAUAAAAUGAAUAUGUUGAUAAAAAUGUGUUAAAGUAUUUUUAGUCAAAAAAAUUAUUGUGUCAUUGGAUAGUUGAGUAUUUUUCUCUUGUAUAGGGGACUUCUUGAGUCGAUGGCAUAGGGGAAAAAAGCCCUUUUUAAUAAAAAGUCUAAAUCACUGCAUUAAUCAGAUUCUAAGUAAGUUCAUGAAUAUCAUCUCCUCCUCCUACUUCUCUUCAACCUCUCCUCUUGGUCCUCUCUACCUCUGCCUUUCUAUCUCUGAUCAUUUCCCUCUCUUUUUCUCCCUGUGACGUCAUUGUCAGGUGGAGUCUAUGUGAUAACCAUUGGCAACUCCAGACAUGCCUCAUGAAGCUCUCCUAGAGAAGGAUAAUGAAAGUUUCUCUGUACCCUACAUCAAUUUCAGUUCUCAGAAAGGCUCUAACUGGCUCUUUUUGGAGGCACUUCUCUGUCCAAAUGAGAGUUAACAGGGCUCACAACAUAUCUACAAAUUUCUAAAUUGCUUAGCAUAAUGAUAUUUUAAUGCUAUCUGUGAAUUAUGUUCGUCAUCUUGGUAAUCUUAGUGGUGCCUACCAAGAUACAGAUAAUAUGAAGUUUUUCAGCCCAAAUGUACUGUAGACAGUAAAUCACUCGAGUAUCAUGGAGAGUAAUUACAUUUUAUUAGCAUUUUCUAUGGUAGACAUCAGGAAAGUUAGCAUUUGGACUAAUUUAGGAAUUUGAUAUUUUAAAAUUGGUUUUGGAUUAUUACAAAUAGGAGUUUGAUAAAGAAGGGAUGAUGAUUUUAUUCUGUAGUUCAAUGUCUAUCUUCAUCUACAAUAUGUUCAAGGCCAUUCUGUAUCAUCCAGUUUUAUAUCCUUUCCAUUUUUACCUCCAGUGUUAGGAGCUUUAUGUUGCUCCCUGAUAUUUUUUUAUUUUCUUGUAAGUAUAAUUGACACAAAACAUUGUAUUAGUUUCAGGUGUACAACAUGAUGUCUCAACAUGUAUAUAUAAGGCAGAAUAAUCACCACAAUAUGUCUAGUUAAUAUCCACAUACUGUUAAUAUCCACAUACCACCACAUACUGUUACAAUUUUUUUUCUUCUGAUAAGAAUUUUUAAAAUUUACUUUAUUGGCACUUUUAAAUAUGCAGUAUUGUAUUACUAACUAUAACUGCCAUGCUAUGUAUUACAUUACUUAUUUAUUUAUUUUAAAAGAUUUAUUUAUUUAUACAAGCACUGGGUACAGUCAGAAGCACGGGAGGGUGAGAGAAUUCACCAGAGGCAGAGCGGAGAGCAGAGCAGAGCAGGCAGACUGACGAAGUACACUGCUGAGGGGAGCAGUGGGUGGCAGGAGAGGUCUGCGCACCAUGUAGGACCCCAGCCCGGUGGCCAGGAAUCGAACCAGUGCUGCAGAGGCUGCGGGCAGCUUCGCAACCCAGCACUCAACCGCUGGGCCACCGGGGAGGCCCUACAUUACUUAUUUAUAAUGCUGCUGAUUCUUAAAAAUCUUUUGGUUUAUGGAUUUAUUUAUUUUCUUCUAAUAUAUAUGUUUACAUUUAUGUAUACCUGUAUAUACAUAUGAAAAUACAGAACCUAUAAUUAUCAGUUAUUUAUAUAUACAUAUUUACAUGUAUAUAAGUGUAGCCUAUAUAUGCAUGUAUAUACAUAUACGUGUGUAUACUAUUUUCUAGUUGUAGAUGUGAUAACUUACCUAUAUGCUCUGAGUUAUAUGUCUAUGUAUACAUAUAUAUAUGUAUAUGAUUAGGAUGUUAAAUCUUUCUCCUUUUGAACUCUCCUGAUUAUCUUGGUAUAACCUGAGUGGUUUUAAAAAUUUUGCAAUCAAGAACUACUAUGUGAGGAUCUUCCUCAACAAGAAAAAGAUUAAUUUUCUUUGAAUAAUGGUUCUAAUGCAAAAUAUUUUGGGUUUUCUUAUGCAGAUGAGCAGUGCUGUAAAUAUAAUUUAGAGAGUUUGAAAAUUGAUUUUAACAUUCGCUAUUCUUCUUCCUAAUUAAUCAAAUUACAAAAUUAUGCUGUGGAUUCCAGUAUAUUAAAAUCAGUUGUCAUAUUUGGAACAUCUGUUUAUGCUCCUAUUAUGCAUGUGUGUUUCUAAAUGUCUGAAAUAUAGAUUGUCAUAAAUAAUGUUUGUUAUGUAUUCUGUGGAAGUAUGAUACCUACUUUCUCCCACAAUGCUUAUUUCCCACAAAGUAAAUCUUCCAGAUUGUGUUUUAUCAUUUCUUUAUCAAGAUGGAUGAAAAAAGAUGAGGGUUUUAGUUAAGACUUGCUGAUUGGUUUAAAAGAGCUAUGACUGUCAUCGGCAGCCUUUCCAGACACUGAACCAUGGCUCCAGACAGUCAGCUGGUACUAUCGCUUUGUCUCAACUAUAAAUCACAGACUCGUAAUGGCCAAGGCUGACAUCUUGACAUUUUCAAGAAGAGUAAAAGACCUGAUUUGAAUGGAAAUCAAUUUCAUCUCACAAAUCUUGGGUUACUACUCUAAGCUUUUCUUAUUUCUUCUUGAGACUUAUUUGGGAUUUUCAUGAUCAUCAGAGGAUUAUUUGAGUGUUGUACUAUCACUUCUUUUAUCUGCAAAACCAUAUUCUUCUUUAUUCUAAAUGUGGAAAUAUUGAUUUUUAAAAUUUUAUAUAAGAAAAACUCACCAAUAAGUCUGAAUAUAUUUUAACUACAAUGCAUUAAUAGUUUAAAAUAUUGUGGUAGCA